RNAcentral lists this ribosomal RNA (446 nucleotides) under Neisseria elongata. RNAcentral's name for it is "bacterial SSU rRNA". It matches the Rfam family "Bacterial small subunit ribosomal RNA", at positions 30 to 470 of the family's 1533-position model. The record is from RNAcentral. Lineage: Bacteria; Pseudomonadati; Pseudomonadota; Betaproteobacteria; Neisseriales; Neisseriaceae.
AUUGAACGCUGGCGGCAUGCUUUACACAUGCAAGUCGGACGGCAGCGGGGUAGUGCUUACACUACUGCCGGCGAGUGGCGAACGGGUGAGUAAUAUAUUGGAACGUACCGAGUAAUGGGGGAUAACCAAUCGAAAGAUUGGCUAAUACCGCAUACGCUCUGAGGAGGAAAGCAGGGGACCUUCGGGCCUUGCGUUAUUCGAGCGGCCAAUAUCUGAUUAGCUAGUUGGUGGGGUAAAGGCCUACCAAGGCGACGAUCAGUAGCGGGUCUGAGAGGAUGAUCCGCCACACUGGGACUGAGACACGGCCCAGACUCCUACGGGAGGCAGCAGUGGGGAAUUUUGGACAAUGGGCGCAAGCCUGAUCCAGCCAUGCCGUGUGUCUGAAGAAGGCCUUCGGGUUGUAAAGGACUUUUGUUAGGGAAGAAAAAGGAGCGGUUAAUACCCGU